GCCCCCUUAGCUCAGGGGAUAGAGCACCGGCCUCCGGAGCCGGUGGCGCAGGUUCGAAUCCUGCAGGGGGCA
This 72-nucleotide transfer RNA is filed under the name Nocardiopsis sp. JB363. It matches the Rfam family "tRNA". From Rfam's summary of the family: Transfer RNA (tRNA) molecules are approximately 80 nucleotides in length. Their secondary structure includes four short double-helical elements and three loops (D, anti-codon, and T loops). Lineage: Bacteria; Bacillati; Actinomycetota; Actinomycetes; Streptosporangiales; Nocardiopsidaceae. The record is from Rfam by way of RNAcentral.